This 74-nucleotide transfer RNA is filed under the name Bacteroidota bacterium. RNAcentral's name for it is "Bacteroidetes bacterium (soil metagenome) tRNA-Ala". Lineage: Bacteria; Pseudomonadati; Bacteroidota. The record is from RNAcentral.
GGGGUGUCAUCUACCAAGGCCGGCGAGUUUGCUUUGCAAGCAGAUUGUGGUGAGUUCGAUUCUCAUCCGCUCCA